GAUGAACGCUGGCGGCGUGCCUAAUACAUGCAAGUCGAGCGAACAGACGAGGAGCUUGCUCCUUUGACGUUAGCGGCGGACGGGUGAGUAACACGUAGGUAACCUACCUAUAAGACUGGGAUAACUUCGGGAAACCGGAGCUAAUACCGGAUAAUAUUUCGAACCGCAUGGUUCGAUAGUGAAAGAUGGCUUUGCUAUCACUUAUAGAUGGACCUGCGCCGUAUUAGCUAGUUGGUAAGGUAACGGCUUACCAAGGCAACGAUACGUAGCCGACCUGAGAGGGUGAUCGGCCACACUGGACUGAGACACGGUCCAGACUCCUACGGGAGGCAGCAGUAGGGAAUCUUCCGCAAUGGGCGAAAGCCUGACGGAGCAACGCCGCGUGAGUGAUGAAGGUCUUCGGAUCGUAAAACUCUGUUAUUAGGGAAGAACAAACGUGUAAGUAACUGUGCACGUCUUGACGGUACCUAAUCAGAAAGCCACGGCUAACUACGUG
This 496-nucleotide ribosomal RNA is filed under the name uncultured bacterium. Its description in RNAcentral is "partial 16S ribosomal RNA". It matches the Rfam family "Bacterial small subunit ribosomal RNA", at positions 28 to 507 of the family's 1533-position model. The record is from RNAcentral.